CUCAGCAUGCUCCGUAUUCACUAGUGAUUUCUGUUUGAUCCUGGCGGAGGAUACGCGCACCAGUUCAGUUCUCCUUGGCCAUUAUGGCAUCCACCGUCCCCUUCAAUCCCAUCAUAAGUUCAACGAGCGAGACCCAA
RNAcentral lists this ribosomal RNA (137 nucleotides) under uncultured rumen archaeon. Its description in RNAcentral is "partial 16S ribosomal RNA". The record is from RNAcentral.